AUGGCGCCCUCCUCCACCACGGCGUCGGCGGCGGCGGACGAGAGGGACCGCAAGCGCAAGCGCGGGGCCGGCGGCGAGGCGGGGACGGAGGCCGACGCGGAGAGGGCGCCCAAGUGGCGGACGCGGCGGGAGCACGAGAUCUACUCCACCAGGCUGCUCGACGCGCUGCGCCUCGUGCGCGCCGGGGCUGGCGUCGCCCCGUCCCCGUCCCCGGCGCGCCAGGUGCGCGAGGCGGCCGACCGCGCGCUCGCCGUCGCCGCCCGCGGCCGCUCCCGCUGGAGCCGCGCCAUCCUCGCCUCUCGCCGCGCUCACCGCGUGCACCGAGUGCGCCUCCACGCUCCGGCCCCUGCGCCGGCGCCUGCUCUAACACGGCCCGCUUCACCCGGCGCGUCCUCCUCCGGCUCGACCUCGGCACAGGCACAGACGCUGGCGAGGAAGGCGAAGACGCUGGGGCGGCUGGUGCCGGGGUGCAGGAAGCUGCCGUUCCCGGCGCUGCUGUCCGAGGCGUCCGACUACAUCGCCGCGCUGGAGAUGCAGGUGCGCGCCAUGGCCGCGCUCGCGCAGGCGCUCUCCGCCGUCGCCCCGCCGCCGUGA
RNAcentral lists this ribosomal RNA (594 nucleotides) under Triticum aestivum (bread wheat). RNAcentral describes it as "partial small subunit ribosomal RNA". Lineage: Eukaryota; Viridiplantae; Streptophyta; Magnoliopsida; Poales; Poaceae. The record is from RNAcentral.